CGUGCUCAAACAUGCAAGUCGAACGGAGUUAAGUGAAAGCUUGCUUUACUUAACUUAGUGGCGGACUGGUGAGUAACGCGUGAACAAUCUGCCUAUCACAGGGGGAUAACAGUUGGAAACGACUGCUAAUACCGCAUAAGACCACAGGGUGGCAUCACCGUAGGGGUCAAAGGAGUUAAAUCUGGUGAUAGAUGAGUUUGCGUAUCAUUAGCUAGUUGGUGAGGGUAAAGGCCCACCAAGGCAACGAUGAUUAGCCGAUCUGAGAGGAUGACCGGCCACACUGGGACUGAGAUACGGCCCAGACUCCUACGGGAGGCAGCAGUUAGGAAUAUUGGGCAAUGGAGGAAACUCUCGACCCAGCAACGCCGCGUGAAGGAAGAAGGUUUUCGGACUGUAAACUUCUGAUCUGAAGGGAAAAAGAAAGUGAUGGUGCCUCAGGAGAAAGCCACGGCUAACUACGUGCCAGCCGCCGC
RNAcentral lists this ribosomal RNA (473 nucleotides) under uncultured bacterium. RNAcentral describes it as "bacterial SSU rRNA". It matches the Rfam family "Bacterial small subunit ribosomal RNA", at positions 43 to 518 of the family's 1533-position model. The record is from RNAcentral.